RNAcentral lists this ribosomal RNA (549 nucleotides) under Vermamoeba vermiformis. Its description in RNAcentral is "SSU rRNA". It matches the Rfam family "Eukaryotic small subunit ribosomal RNA", at positions 619 to 1169 of the family's 1831-position model. Lineage: Eukaryota; Tubulinea; Echinamoebida; Vermamoebidae. The record is from RNAcentral.
UUAAAAAGCUCGUAGUUGGAUUUCGGAAGGUCCUUAGCGGUCCGCCCCUUCGGGGAGCGGGUCGCUGGCCUCCUAUGUUCCCAACGGUCCUCAUCCGCGAGGGUGGGGAAUCAACCGCUGGGAUCGUUUACUUUGAGGAAAUUAGAGUGUUCAAAGCAGGCGUAACUCGCCUCCGAAUACGUUAGCAUGGGAUAAUGGAAUACGACUUCGGUCUUGUUUCGUUGGUUUCGCUUGGCUGAAGUAAUGAUUGAUAGGGACAGUUGGGGGCAUUAGUAUUUAGUUGUCAGAGGUGAAAUUCUAGGAUUUACUAAAGACUGACCAAUGCGAAAGCAUUUGCCAAGGAUGUUUUCAUUAAUCAAGAACGAAAGUAGGGGGAUCGAAGACGAUCAGAUACCGUCGUAGUCUCUACCGUAAACUAUGCCGACCAGGGAUCCGGAGAGUUUGCAUGGAUGACUCCCCGGGCACCUUGUGAGAAAUCAUAAGUGUUUGGGUUUUGGGGGGAGUAUGGUCGCAAGGCUGAAACUUAAAGGAAUUGACGGAAGGGCACCA